UCUGGGUUGUGUGAUUACAUGUUGUUCUUCGUAUGCCUGACCUGGUUACGAUCAGGAAUGGUGUGCGGGUCAAUGUAGUGGUUGCGCAGCCUUUCAGCCGUGUCUGUGUAAACAGGUGUUGAUUAGGUGGAUGGGCUUGCCUAUUUGCUUGUUGACAUGCUUCCGGAUGCCUUUGAUCGGGUGUUGGGGGCGGACGGCAUCUUUACUUUGAACAAAUUUGAGUGCUCAAAGCAGGCCAAAAUGCCUGGCAAAUUCUUGCAUGGAAUAAAGGAAUAGGCUUCGGUUCUAUUUUGUUGGUUUUCGGAUCCGAAGUAAU
RNAcentral lists this ribosomal RNA (316 nucleotides) under Paracardicoloides yamagutii. Its description in RNAcentral is "SSU rRNA". The stretch from base 75 to 316 matches the Rfam family "Eukaryotic small subunit ribosomal RNA", at positions 630 to 866 of the family's 1831-position model. Lineage: Eukaryota; Metazoa; Platyhelminthes; Trematoda; Strigeidida; Aporocotylidae. The record is from RNAcentral.